This 59-nucleotide transfer RNA is filed under the name Hirudo nipponia. RNAcentral describes it as "tRNA-Gly". The record is from RNAcentral. Lineage: Eukaryota; Metazoa; Annelida; Clitellata; Hirudinida; Hirudinidae.
AUAAUGUUAGUAUAAACAGUACGUAUUCCUUCCAAGAAUAAAGCUUUAGUAACAUUAUA